This 446-nucleotide ribosomal RNA is filed under the name uncultured marine bacterium. Its description in RNAcentral is "bacterial SSU rRNA". It matches the Rfam family "Bacterial small subunit ribosomal RNA", at positions 359 to 804 of the family's 1533-position model. The record is from RNAcentral.
AAAAUUGGUCAAUGGGGGAAAGCCUGAACCAGCCAUGCCGGGUGCAGGAUGAAGGUUUUCAAGAAUGUAAACUGCUUUUAUACGGGAGCAAUAGGUCUCUGAGGAGGCUGAUGAGAUUACCGUAAGAAUAAGCACCGGCUAACUCCGUGCCAGCAGCCGCGGUAAUACGGAGGGUGCAAGCGUUAUCCGGAUUUAUUGGGUUUAAAGGGUACGUAGGCGGCUUUAUAAGUCAGUGGUGAAAUCCCACAGCUCAACUGUGGAACUGCCAUUGAAACUAUAGAGCUUGAGUAAAGAAUAGGUAGGCGGAAUUUAUGGUGUAGCGGUGAAAUGCAUAGAUACCAUAAGGAACACCGAUAGUGAAGACAGCUUACUGGUCUUAUACUGACGCUGAGGUACGAAAGCGUGGGGAGCAAACCGGAUUAGAGACCCUGGUAGUCCACGCCGUA